Non-coding RNA from Cinara cedri, 272 nucleotides. NCBI's taxonomy places the organism in Eukaryota, Metazoa, Arthropoda, Insecta, Hemiptera, Aphididae. The record is from the annotation of a GenBank genome assembly.
UGUCAGGUGAUCGUGAAACACGGCACAUACACAUUUUUGUUUAUCUUCUGACUAGUUGGACAGUCGGAACGGAUCGGGAACGCGUCCUAUAUAACCUCUCCUCUAUUUCAGUAUUAAUUCGAUCUCCUUAGAGUCACGUAUUAGUCCUUAGAAAAUGUUUUCGUAAACGUAUUUUUUUGAGGGCUCAGGUGGUUUUUUCAAAAACCCGAAUUUCGUUGAUAUUUUCAUCAUUAAAUCGUAUAAGAUGAUCACAUCUACCACGCGACGAAAUG